CCAAUAGCGUAUAUUAAAGUUGUUGCAGUUAAAAAGCUCGUAGUUGAAUUUCGGGAUCAAGGGAUCGGUCAUGCCUUGGUAUGUACUGGUUUCAUUGGUUCUCACCUUCUAAAGAACCAUGAUGUCAUUCAUUUGAUGUUAUGGGGAAUUAGGACUGUUACCUUGAAAAAAUUAGAGUGUUUAAAGCAAGCUUACGCUUGAAUACAUUAGCAUGGAAUAAUGAAAUAGGACAUCCGAUUCUAUUUUGUUGGUUUCUAGGAUCGAUGUAAUGAUUAAUAGGGAUAGUUGGGGGCAUUAGUAUUCAAUUGUCAGAGGUGAAAUUCUUGGAUUUAUUGAAGACUAACUACUGCGAAAGCAUUUGCCAAGGAUGUUUUCAUUAAUCAAGAACGAAAGUUAGGGGAUCGAAGACGAUCAGAUACCGUCGUAGUCUUAACCAUAAACUAUGCCGACUAGGGAUCGGAUGAUGUUUAUUUUUUAGUGACUCAUUCGGCACCUUACG
Molecule: ribosomal RNA, 499 nt
Filed under: uncultured Glomeromycotina
Lineage: Eukaryota; Fungi; Glomeromycota
Description: partial small subunit ribosomal RNA
Rfam family: Eukaryotic small subunit ribosomal RNA
Source: RNAcentral